Molecule: ribosomal RNA, 309 nt
Filed under: uncultured soil bacterium
Lineage: Bacteria
Description: bacterial SSU rRNA
Rfam family: Bacterial small subunit ribosomal RNA
Source: RNAcentral
AGAUUGAACGCUGGCGGCGUGCUUAACACAUGCGAGUCGAGCGGUAACAGGCGUAGCAAUACGUGCUGACGAGCGGCGAACGGGUGCGUAAUACAUGGGAAUCUGCCUUUUAGUGGGGAAUAACCCGGCGAAAGCCGGGCUAAUGCCGCAUAAGAUCUUCGGAUGAAAGCGGGGAUCGUAAGACCUCGCGCUGAUAGAUGAGCCCAUGCCGGAUUAGCUAGUUGGUGAGGUAACGGCUCACCAAGGCGACGAUCCGUAGCUGGUCUGAGAGGACGGCCAGCCCACACGUGGGACUGAGACACGGCCCAG